RNAcentral lists this ribosomal RNA (428 nucleotides) under uncultured archaeon. RNAcentral describes it as "bacterial SSU rRNA". It matches the Rfam family "Archaeal small subunit ribosomal RNA", at positions 474 to 903 of the family's 1478-position model. The record is from RNAcentral.
UACCAGCUCUCCGAGUGGUAGGGAUGAUUAUUGGGCUUAAAGCGUCCGUAGCCGGCUUAGCAAGUCUCCUGUUAAAUUCAGCGACCUAAUCGUUGAGCCGCGGGAGAUACUACUAGGCUAGGAGGCGGGAGAGGUCAACGGUACUUCCGGGGUAGGGGUGAAAUCCUAUAAUCCCGGGAGGACCACCAGUGGCGAAGGCUGUUGACUAGAACGCGCUCGACGGUGAGGGACGAAAACUGGGGGAGCGAACCGGAUUAGAUACCCGGGUAGUCCCAGCUGUAAACGAUGCGAGCUAGGUGUUGGGGUGGCUACGUGCCACUUCAGUGCCGCAGGGAAGCCAUUAAGCUCGCCGCCUGGGGAGUACGGCCGCAAGGCUGAAACUUAAAGGAAUUGGCGGGGAGCACCACAAGGCGUGAAGCUUGCGGUUC